This 73-nucleotide transfer RNA is filed under the name Pangasius djambal. RNAcentral describes it as "tRNA-Thr". It matches the Rfam family "tRNA". Rfam says of the family: Transfer RNA (tRNA) molecules are approximately 80 nucleotides in length. Their secondary structure includes four short double-helical elements and three loops (D, anti-codon, and T loops). Further hydrogen bonds mediate the characteristic L-shaped molecular structure. tRNAs have two regions of fundamental functional importance: the anti-codon, which is responsible for specific mRNA codon recognition, and the 3' end, to which the tRNAs corresponding amino acid is attached (by aminoacyl-tRNA synthetases). tRNAs cope with the degeneracy of the genetic code in two manners: having more than one tRNA (with a specific anti-codon) for a particular amino acid; and 'wobble' base-pairing, i.e. permitting non-standard base-pairing at the 3rd anti-codon position. The record is from RNAcentral. Lineage: Eukaryota; Metazoa; Chordata; Actinopteri; Siluriformes; Pangasiidae.
GGCUCCAUAGCUUAGCGGUUAGAGCACUGGUCUUGUAAACCAGGGGUCGUGAGUUCAACCCUCACUGGGGCCU